AGAGUUUGAUCCUGGCUCAGAUUGAACGCUGGCGGCAUGCUUUACACAUGCAAGUCGAACGGGCCGGGGGCAACUCCGGUCAGUGGCGAACGGGUGAGUAAUACAUCGGAACGUGCCCAGUAGUGGGGGAUAACGUAGCGAAAGUUACGCUAAUACCGCAUACGCUGGAGACAGGAAAGCGGGGGACCGCAAGGCCUCGUGCUAUUGGAGCGGCCGAUGUCCGAUUAGCUAGUUGGUGGGGUAAAGGCCUACCAAGGCGACGAUCGGUAGCUGGUCUGAGAGGAUGAUCAGCCACACUGGGACUGAGACACGGCCCAGACUCCUACGGGAGGCAGCAGUGGGGAAUUUUGGACAAUGGGGGCAACCCUGAUCCAGCCAUGCCGCGUGAGUGAAGAAGGCCUUCGGGUUGUAAAGCUCUUUUGUCUGGGAAGAAAAGGCGUCGGUUAAUACCUGGCGUUCUGACGUACCGAAGAAUA
This 476-nucleotide ribosomal RNA is filed under the name uncultured bacterium. RNAcentral describes it as "bacterial SSU rRNA". It matches the Rfam family "Bacterial small subunit ribosomal RNA", at positions 8 to 487 of the family's 1533-position model. The record is from RNAcentral.